UACAGAGGGGGCAAGCGUUGUUCGGAAUUACUGGGCGUAAAGGGCGCGUAGGCGGCCGCCUAAGUCAGACGUGAAAUCCCUCGGCUCAACCGGGGAACUGCGUCUGAUACUGGGUGGCUUGAAUCCGGGAGAGGGAUGCGGAAUUCCAGGUGUAGCGGUGAAAUGCGUAGAUAUCUGGAGGAACACCGGUGGCGAGGGCGGCAUCCUGGACCAACACUGACGCUGAGGAGCGAAAGCCAGGGGAGCAAACGGG
This 253-nucleotide ribosomal RNA is filed under the name uncultured bacterium. RNAcentral's name for it is "partial 16S ribosomal RNA". It matches the Rfam family "Bacterial small subunit ribosomal RNA", at positions 524 to 776 of the family's 1533-position model. The record is from RNAcentral.